RNAcentral lists this unclassified non-coding RNA (644 nucleotides) under Hevea brasiliensis (rubber tree). Lineage: Eukaryota; Viridiplantae; Streptophyta; Magnoliopsida; Malpighiales; Euphorbiaceae. The record is from RNAcentral.
UGAAGAUUCAAAGCCUCUGUAUAAUCCUCCUCUUCAUCUUAGCUGAGACAUCUCAGCCACCAUUCUCGUGUGAUUCGUCGAACCCAUCAACAAAAUCCUACCCCUUUUGCCAAACCUCACUCCCCAUAAGCCAAAGAGUCCAAGACCUUGUCUUUAGGCUCACAUUGGAUGAGAAAAUCUCCCAACUUGUUGACACUGCACCUGCUAUUCCCAGGCUCGGCAUCCCUGCCUAUGAGUGGUGGUCUGAAGCAUUACACGGUGUUGCCUUCCUUCCAGAAGUCAGCCAAAGGCAAGGCAUCCAUUUCAAUGGCACCAUCGCGUCCGCCACUAGCUUCCCUCAAGUCAUUCUGACUGCUGCCUCAUUUGAUGCCUAUCUUUGGUAUCGCAUUGGUCAAGUGACUGGAAAAGAAGCUAGAGCCAUAUAUAAUGCUGGACAAGCUAUUGGCAUGACGUUUUGGGCACCAAACAUCAAUAUAUUUAGGGAUCCAAGAUGGGGGAGAGGGCAAGAGACACCUGGAGAAGAUCCAUUGGUUACAGGACGGUAUGCAGUGUCAUUUGUGAGAGGCGUUCAAGGGGACUCUUUUCAAGGAGGGGCUCUUGGGGAGCAUCUUCAGGCAUCGGCUUGUUGCAAGCAUUUUACUGCU